Cloeon dipterum is the source of this 510-nucleotide long non-coding RNA. RefSeq lists it as uncharacterized. The record is from RefSeq and is a predicted model, not a curated record. Lineage: Eukaryota; Metazoa; Arthropoda; Insecta; Ephemeroptera; Baetidae. The transcript has 3 exons.
AUGGAAAGCAUUGGUUCGCGCUGUGUAUCCAAAUUGAGCGAGUCACAGUUUCCCGAUGCACCACGUCAAGCUCCGCGUUGUUUCCUAGGCAAUCAUGAAAUCAACCCACGCAAUUUACAUGAUAUCAAUUAUUUUCAUUAUUUACAACACACCGACAAUGGUGCGCGCCCAGGGUGACGGAGCGUGCAUGGACCAAAUGGGCAUUAAGACAGACCAACAAGAAAAAUUGAAAACCUUGAAAAAAUACUAUUGCAUAUCUCAGUGCAUGGGCGGGUUUGGAGGUGAAGUGGAUUUCUGUAAAAGCGAUGGAAUUUGUCUGGAGCAACCUACAGCCCCAUCUGGAUACUCCGCGGCAAUGAACAUGCCACGCACGUGAAUAUUUAGGAAAAUCAACAUGCAAAAAUUCUAUUCGAAGAUAUGAAUUUAUAAUUUUAAAAUUUUCUAACACUGUUAAGUUGCGAAAAGCAAUUGAUGGAAUUAAUAAUCACGAAAUUAAUUAAAAUAAAAAUU